GUGUUUCUUUAAAGUCAUAUUAAUCAACUAUUUUUAAUUAAUUUAUAGGUAUACUACGUUGACUUUGAGCAUCCAAACGUUACAUACUGGAAUCCUAAAUAUUUUGAGUACAUGACCGCGACAGCCCAGAGAUACAGCCGCCGAGACCCCAUCCACUACUUAAACUUUCGGUUAAAAACCUUAACUGUCUUUGGGAACGACAUUGUAGUAACUCUUGAUUUUUACGAGUUCUUGAGCAACGAGUAUCGCCCCAGCAUGUUAGUGAUGCGCUUCGGGCUUUGCGAGUAUUUUUCAGACCAUAAAUAUGACGUCUUUAAGCCUUUCUACAUGAAAUAUUUUAACGCCUCCUCUUGUCCUUUUCCAAAGGGAGAGUAUAAUUUCUGGAACUGCUCUAUUCCGAAUAUGCCGCUCCUCUCGACGUUCCCUAUUAAGAAUUCUCGCAUGUUCUUGAGUUACGUACGUGACGGCGAGCGAG
Molecule: long non-coding RNA, 475 nt
Organism: Cydia splendana
Lineage: Eukaryota; Metazoa; Arthropoda; Insecta; Lepidoptera; Tortricidae
Exons: 3
Source: RefSeq, a predicted model, not a curated record